Long non-coding RNA from Mobula hypostoma (lesser devil ray), 1549 nucleotides. RefSeq lists it as uncharacterized. The transcript is spliced from 4 exons. The record is from RefSeq and is a predicted model, not a curated record. NCBI's taxonomy places the organism in Eukaryota, Metazoa, Chordata, Chondrichthyes, Myliobatiformes, Myliobatidae.
UCCUGAACCGCCACGAAGGAGGUCCCAGAGGCUGAGAUUGUUUCAAAGCCACGGGUCUCACCUGCCAAGCAGAGUGAUUCCCUCUUGUCAGAAAAAUAUGUUGUCGCUCAAAAGUAAGAAAGCCUCCACCGCGAUUGAAUCUGGAAGGGACAAUUUAAAAAAGUUACUGUGCUGUGGCGUCUGUAUGUAGUAGUUGUAUUGUGCAGUUUACUGUGUAUAGAGACACACAAAUAUACAGAAUUUCCAGCAUCUGCAGGUUUUCUCGAUACUGUGUAUAGAGGCAUUCACAAUUGAACAAAGAAAUACAUCUGAGUCAAUGGAAAACUACACACAGGGAUCCUCACCACUCAGGUUAGGCUGUCUUCAUGCUGCUGCCAUCAGGAAGAAGGUAUUAAUCAACUGUGAUUAACAUGGGACUGUGGCCAGUCACUGUGAAAUACCCGGUCUCCUGGAGACGAACGUUCAGCUGUUUUAGUGUACACCCUGCAUCAAAGUCAGGCAUUUACAGGAAAGGAAAGAAAUACAAUAAAAUUGAUGCAAAACAAAACAUUAGCUUGGAACAUGGAACAUGACAGCAGAGUACACGCCUUUCAGCCCACGGAGUUUCGUCAACCUUCUAACCUACUCAAAGAUCAAUCUAAUAAUCUAUACUUUAUUAGGAGUGAAGAGAUAGGGUACGUCAACAAAAACACUCAAAAAUUCUGUAGAUGUACCCUGGAGAGCAUUCUGACAAGCUACAUCUCUGUCUGGUAUGGGGGGAGGGGCGGUGGGUACUUCACAAGACCGAAAGAAGCUGCAGAGAGUCGUAAAUUUAGUCAGCUCCAUCAAAGCACCCAGGGCAUCUUCAAAGAGUGGUGUCUCAGAAAGACAGCAUCAAUUAUUAAGGACCUCCAGCACCCAGGGCAUGUCCUUUUCUCACUGUUGCCAUCAAGUAAGAGGUACGGAAGCCUGAAGGCACACACUCAGCAAUUCAGGAACAGCUUCUUCCCCUCUGCCAUCUGAUUCCUAAAUGGACAUUGAACCCAUGAACACUACCUCACUUUUUUUAUAUAUAUUAUUUCUGUUUUUGCACAAUUUUUAAUCUAUUCGAUAUACAUAUACUGUAGAUGACUGAUUUAUCUCCUUCUAUAUUUUGUAUGGCGUUAAACUGCUGCUGCUAAGUUAACAAAUUUCACGACGCAUGCUGAUGAUAAUAAACCUGAUUCUGAUUCUAACGACAAACAACAAAAGACAAACUGUGCAAACAAAAAAUAAAUAAUAGAACAUGCAGAGUCCAUGAAAGUGAUUUGUAGGUUGUGAAACUAGUUCAGAGUUGUGGUGAAUGGCCACACUGGCCAGGAGUUUCAGCCUAAUACUUCCAUGGAAGUGAAUUGGAAAAUAAGUCUCUCUUCCUCCACUAACAAAACUUAAUUGCAUGAUGUGAAAUUUUCUCAAAAAAACUUUUAAAAAUUGCAAUCAAAAAAUCUGAAAUUUUCUGGACAAAACUGUCAAUUCUCAGCAGUCACCGGUUGUGCUUCUGAUAAAUAUGAGAAAAUCUGUAACUGCUGGA